This 437-nucleotide ribosomal RNA is filed under the name Escherichia coli. Its description in RNAcentral is "partial 23S ribosomal RNA". It matches the Rfam family "Bacterial large subunit ribosomal RNA", at positions 612 to 1049 of the family's 2925-position model. The record is from RNAcentral. Lineage: Bacteria; Pseudomonadati; Pseudomonadota; Gammaproteobacteria; Enterobacterales; Enterobacteriaceae.
AUAAUGGGUCAGCGACUUAUAUUCUGUAGCAAGGUUAACCGAAUAGGGGAGCCGAAGGGAAACCGAGUCUUAACUGGGCGUUAAGUUGCAGGGUAUAGACCCGAAACCCGGUGAUCUAGCCAUGGGCAGGUUGAAGGUUGGGUAACACUAACUGGAGGACCGAACCGACUAAUGUUGAAAAAUUAGCGGAUGACUUGUGGCUGGGGGUGAAAGGCCAAUCAAACCGGGAGAUAGCUGGUUCUCCCCGAAAGCUAUUUAGGUAGCGCCUCGUGAAUUCAUCUCCGGGGGUAGAGCACUGUUUCGGCAAGGGGGUCAUCCCGACUUACCAACCCGAUGCAAACUGCGAAUACCGGAGAAUGUUAUCACGGGAGACACACGGCGGGUGCUAACGUCCGUCGUGAAGAGGGAAACAACCCAGACCGCCAGCUAAGGUCCCA